GCGACGUUAGUGUAAUGGUUAUCAUCUGCGCUUCCCAGUUUGUUCCAGGCUGCGCAGGAUUCGAGUUCGAUUCUCGAACGUCGCA
Non-coding RNA from Lasiosphaeria ovina, 85 nucleotides. Lineage: Eukaryota; Fungi; Ascomycota; Sordariomycetes; Sordariales; Lasiosphaeriaceae. The record is from the annotation of a GenBank genome assembly.